This 393-nucleotide ribosomal RNA is filed under the name Scleroderma sp. 159-7. Its description in RNAcentral is "eukaryotic LSU rRNA". The stretch from base 1 to 106 matches the Rfam family "5.8S ribosomal RNA", at positions 50 to 154 of the family's 154-position model. Lineage: Eukaryota; Fungi; Basidiomycota; Agaricomycetes; Boletales; Sclerodermataceae. The record is from RNAcentral.
GAAUCGCGAUAAGUAAUGUGAAUUGCAGAUUUUCCGUGAAUCAUCGAAUCUUUGAACGCACCUUGCGCUCCUCGGUAUUCCGAGGAGCAUGCCUGUUUGAGUGUCAUCGAAACAUCAGAUCGAAGCUUUCGACCUCGUCGGAGCUCGGUUUGGACUUGUGGGAGUCUGCGGGCGAACCUCCCGUCGGGGGGGACGUCGGCUCUCCUCAAAAGCAUUAGUGUUGGGUGCGAGCCUCGCGUGGCACGGCCUCUUCGACGUCAUAAUGACCGUCGUGGGCUGGAAGUGCGUGGAUCGUAGAUGCCCGUCGCUCUCCAACUCUGCGAGCCCGGUCCGUCCGGCCGCGUGUUAUCGAAGCUUGACCUCAAAUCAGGUAGGACUACCCGCUGAACUUAA